RNAcentral lists this non-coding RNA (18 nucleotides) under Mus musculus (house mouse). The record is from RNAcentral. Lineage: Eukaryota; Metazoa; Chordata; Mammalia; Rodentia; Muridae.
UUAUAGAGAUCGGCCGAG